RNAcentral lists this transfer RNA (73 nucleotides) under Dermacentor andersoni. RNAcentral describes it as "transfer RNA valine (anticodon AAC)". The record is from RNAcentral. Lineage: Eukaryota; Metazoa; Arthropoda; Arachnida; Ixodida; Ixodidae.
AUUCCCGUGGUGUACCGGUUAUCACGUGCGCCUAACACGCGCAAGGCCCCCGGUUCGAUCCCGGGCGGGAACA